This 281-nucleotide long non-coding RNA is filed under the name Capsella rubella. RNAcentral describes it as "long non-coding RNA (CRUB_LNC001505)". The record is from RNAcentral. Lineage: Eukaryota; Viridiplantae; Streptophyta; Magnoliopsida; Brassicales; Brassicaceae.
UUUUCUUUUCUUUUUUUUGUCGGCAAAAGUUUUGCCUACUUAAUUAAGAAAAAUAUCUGAAGAUGCAACAUAAAAAUCGUAAGAAAUAUUGCGAUUAUUUUUAAUUUCACAUUUAGAAUAUCUUUUUUUUUUUUUUUUUCAUUUAGAAUAUCUUAUCUAACUUAAGAACUGAAAAACACACGUAACGUUGAAGAUUCACGCAAUGAUUCCGGCGGUUUUUUCCAAAUAUUGCCAUUAGUCCAACCUACCGUUGGUCUUAAUGACGCUCAAGUCAUUUUGAU